RNAcentral lists this ribosomal RNA (454 nucleotides) under Cladosporium cladosporioides. Its description in RNAcentral is "LSU rRNA". It matches the Rfam family "Eukaryotic large subunit ribosomal RNA", at positions 1 to 451 of the family's 3401-position model. Lineage: Eukaryota; Fungi; Ascomycota; Dothideomycetes; Cladosporiales; Cladosporiaceae. The record is from RNAcentral.
UUGACCUCGGAUCAGGUAGGGAUACCCGCUGAACUUAAGCAUAUCAAUAAGCGGAGGAAAAGAAACCAACAGGGAUUGCUCUAGUAACGGCGAGUGAAGCAGCAAUAGCUCAAAUUUGAAAUCUGGCGUCUUCGACGUCCGAGUUGUAAUUUGUAGAGGAUGCUUCUGAGUAACCACCGACCUAAGUUCCUUGGAACAGGACGUCAUAGAGGGUGAGAAUCCCGUAUGCGGUCGGAAAGGUGCUCUAUACGUAGCUCCUUCGACGAGUCGAGUUGUUUGGGAAUGCAGCUCUAAAUGGGAGGUAAAUUUCUUCUAAAGAUAAAUAUUGGCCAGAGACCGAUAGCGCACAAGUAGAGUGAUCGAAAGAUGAAAAGCACUUUGGAAAGAGAGUUAAAAAGCACGUGAAAUUGUUAAAAGGGAAGGGAUUGCAACCAGACUUGCUCGCGGUGUUCCG